RNAcentral lists this long non-coding RNA (276 nucleotides) under Homo sapiens (human). RNAcentral's name for it is "non-protein coding lnc-CRISPLD1-1:1". The record is from RNAcentral. Lineage: Eukaryota; Metazoa; Chordata; Mammalia; Primates; Hominidae.
AAACAGAAGUCAGUAAGGAGUGUGCUGAGAAGUGAGGAGAAGAAUAAAACUGGAUAUGUGAUGACGCCCAAUGGAUACCUGCACUUGUGAAGUCCCUGUCUCAUCGAUCUAAGCGAAGCUAUAUGUGACUUGCUUUGGCCAGUGGCCAUUACCAGAUGAGAUGCCCGCGUACACAGGAAAAGCCCUUUUGAAUUGGGGCUUGGACAUUCUUGCUCUUGAUAACACUGCUGCCAUGUAGAAGCCUGGGUUAGCCCAUCUGAGGACACGACCAUGAAG